RNAcentral lists this small RNA (2189 nucleotides) under Malus domestica (apple). RNAcentral describes it as "sRNA MD11G0048100". The record is from RNAcentral. Lineage: Eukaryota; Viridiplantae; Streptophyta; Magnoliopsida; Rosales; Rosaceae.
CGAUUACAUACAAGGCGAAUCGUCCCUAGCAGCUUUAGCUUCUUCACUUCCGGCCACCACCAGCGCCGGCGGAUCCUCUACUGCCGCGGAACAGGUCAUUGAUCUUAGCUUCAACGUCCUCAGUAGCAUACUUAAUGUACUUAUCAUGCCAUCCGAUUUCCGGAACAUUCGGAAACCUACCGAUGAAGCUCUGAUACGCUGGCAACAAGAUUUUGACAAGCGAAAUUAUCAAAUCGCCUCUGAGCUGAUCGUCGAAAACUACCCAAUUGGACUGCGUUUUACAGAUCUCGUCGAAGUAGAUGUUGAACAACUUGAGCUUCUCCUUCAUGGACUUGACCGCAGCACUUGGCGCCAAUGAGCCGCUAUCGAGCUUCAACACUCCAAGCACCUUGUUCCAUGAGCUUCUCUGGUAAUUCACAUGGUACUGCCGGACUUUCGCAGUGUGUUUUCGGAUCCAAUCAUCGCCCAAUAGCAAUCCCAACUCGCUGUCUUUCGCUUUCUGCACAAUGUACCUCCCAUUGUUCAUCAUGAAAACAUAGCACAAAGCAGAGUCCCGGUAAAUCUUUGACUUGGCUUCCAAAUUGCUCUCCAGAAGCUCCAUAAUCCACGCCAUUUGUACGGACAUGGACGAGCUUCGGUCAUCAACCUUGGGUUGAUGAGAGACCGCAGCACUGUCCUCGAAAACCUGCUCGAGGAUCUGGCGCGAUCGGCAAGCUGCCCGGAGAUAAUUCAUCACAUAUCGAGUGAUUGGAUGCAAUCCGCCGCCAGGAACUGGAGUUUUCGCAGGGUCGCGACUGAUCAGAUUCUCCAACUCCAUGAAAAUGCCUCUGAUCGCUUCGCCUAACCUUUUCCAAAUCGUAAUCGCUUCGUUCCGGAGAAACAAGCAGUACUGAUCGGAGAACACUGACUCGAAUUCGGGCAUCAAAUCCCGCAAAGUCUCGAACACGUCGAGAAUCCUGAACAAUCGCUCUGGCGAUCGGCUCCCUAUUGCCACCGCGUCGGCGAAAUUCAGUAUCUGAAUAGUCGAGCCUCGGCAAACCUCCAUGAACGAGAGGUCCGCGGCGGAGGAGAGGCCGUAGAAGAUGCGAUCGCAGAGUCGUCGCUCGCUCGGAAACAGAAUCCGAAGCGCGACGUUUGCUGAUUUGAUCCACCGCUCGAUUUCGUCCUCCAGGUCCUGCCAUGGCGUCUUCUGGACCUCUUCGAUGCUCAGCUUCUGCAACCCUAGCCUCGACAAGCUCUCUUCCAGGAACUCUCUCCGGCAGCUGGAGUACACGUGCGAGCACUCCUUUCCGAAACCCGCCGCCACCAUCCGCUUCGCGAUCUCAUGGAGGUCGUUGAUGGUUCCAGAAGGAAGCGCGUCGAUCACGAUGUCGUAGUCGCCAAUCGGCUGCGCAACAGGGAUCUGGUGUUCCUCACCGUCCCCGAUCACCUCCUCUUCUUCUUCAUCAUCAUCUCCGGAGUCAAACGACAACGCGCCAUUCGACUCGCCGCGAAACGCCCGAGUCAAUUCUCGUGACUCGGCGCCGCGUUCGACCAAGGAUCUGAACUCGUCCUCGAGCCGGAACAUAGCGUGCUGCAUAAGAUCCUCGGCGCCCGUCAGGCAGACGCUGACGGACUUGUCGUCGGCCAUCGGAGUCCAGUCUCUGAUGGUAACGAUGAGCUCGUCGAUCGAGUCAAGAAACGCCGCGGAAUCGGCGGAGUCGGACCAGAUUGGGUGGUCAGUGGCCACAUACUGCGAGAUCUGACGGUCCAGCGACUUCAGCGAAAGCUCGAGAGCAGCACAGCUCCGAGUUCGUUCGUCGUCGGAAGCCAAUUUCUCGCGAGAGAACCUACCGUCGAAGUUGGAAAAAAUCUGCAAAAUAUCGUCGGCCAUAUUAUCGUUGUGGCCCAGAGUCUUGGCUAUGUGGCGCGCCAUAGCCAACAAUUUCUCUUCGCCGUUCUCAGCCAUUGUACUGCAGUAUCAGAGAGUGCCCUCCAAGUGUUUGAUUUGAUGCCUCGGUGAAGAUAAACUUUUAGGGUUGUGAAAUUGAGAGGAAAAUUGGUUUUAAUUUUUGGGAUUUUUGGAUUUCAGAAUUUCAGAAUUCCGUUUUGGGUAUUAACCAAUAAGCAAUAAGCCAAAAGCCAGAAGCUAAAAGCACUGAGGGUGAGCAGAAGCAGUUGAAUAGUAUUAUUUAGAGGUUCGCGGAAGG